This 301-nucleotide ribosomal RNA is filed under the name uncultured bacterium. Its description in RNAcentral is "partial 16S ribosomal RNA". It matches the Rfam family "Bacterial small subunit ribosomal RNA", at positions 509 to 807 of the family's 1533-position model. The record is from RNAcentral.
CAGUAGCCGCGGGAAUACGUAGGUGGCAAGCGUUGUCCGGAAUUAUUGGGCGUAAAGCGCGCGCAGGUGGUUUAAUAAGUCUGAUGUGAAAGCCCACGGCUCAACUGUGGAGGGUCAUUGGAAACUGUUAAACUUGAGUGCAGGAGAGAGAAGUGGAAUUCCUAGUGUAGCGGUGAAAUGCGUAGAGAUUAGGAGGAACACCAGUGGCGAAGGCGGCUUUUUGGCCUGUAACUGACACUGAGGCGCGAAAGCGUGGGGAGCAAACAGGAUUAGAUACCCGCGUAGUCCCUGUCUCUUAUAC